GCCAGACUCCUACGGGAGGCAGCAGUGGGGAAUAUUGGGCAAUGGGCGCAAGCCUGACCCAGCAACGCCGCGUGAAGGAAGAAGGCUUUCGGGUUGUAAACUUCUUUUCUCAGGGACGAAUAGAUGACGGUACCUGAGGAAUAAGCCACGGCUAACUACGUGCCAGCAGCCGCGGUAAUACGUAGGUGGCAAGCGUUAUCCGGAUUUACUGGGUGUAAAGGGCGUGUAGGCGGGGACGCAAGUCAGAUGUGAAAACCACGGGCUCAACCUGUGGCCUGCAUUUGAAACUGUGUUUCUUGAGUACUGGAGAGGCAGACGGAAUUCCUAGUGUAGCGGUGAAAUGCGUAGAUAUUAGGAGGAACACCAGUGGCGAAGGCGGAUUGCUGGACAGUAACUGACGCUGAGGCGCGAAAGCGUGGGGAGCAAACAGGAUUAGAUACCCCAGUAAA
RNAcentral lists this ribosomal RNA (449 nucleotides) under uncultured bacterium. RNAcentral describes it as "bacterial SSU rRNA". It matches the Rfam family "Bacterial small subunit ribosomal RNA", at positions 330 to 794 of the family's 1533-position model. The record is from RNAcentral.